This 70-nucleotide transfer RNA is filed under the name Prophantis adusta. Its description in RNAcentral is "tRNA-Phe". The record is from RNAcentral. Lineage: Eukaryota; Metazoa; Arthropoda; Insecta; Lepidoptera; Crambidae.
AUUUAAAUAGCUUAUAAAUUAGAGUAUAAUAUUGAAGAUAUUAGGGAGAUUAAUUUGAAAUCUUUAAAUA